GGACGCUUGCUAUGUGACGCCACUUGGAAGGGACCCACCUACAGUGGCGGAAGUGGAGUAAGACAUCAUGUUGCCUCAAGUUUAAUUGGAAAUCGCGUGCCUUGUGAAGAAUGGACACUCAGUAGAUGCUUAUUGAUGAACCUGUUGGUUGAGGAUAACUCGCUAACUUUUCUGAGCUUUGUUGGAAAAACUAGACAGGGGUCUCACUAUGUGAUGCAGGAUGAUCUCAAACUCCCUGGCCUCAAGCGAUCCUCCUGCCUUGGUCUCCUAAAGUGCUGGGAUUACAGCAGGUCACUGUAUCUCUAUGCAUUACAGAAAAUGGCUAGUUAAAAACUUGUCAAGAGAUGGGGUUUUACUAUGUUGGAGAAGCUGGUCUCAAACUCCUGGGCUCAAGUCAUCCUCCCGCCUCAGCCUCCCAAAGUGCUGAGAUUACAGACGUUGAGGGCUCAUGACACUCCUGGUGGCCAUAUACGCAGAGGUCAGGGAGAGAAAGGGACCUGUGGGCCAGCACCCUUAUUGGGUCCAGAGAGCUAUCCAAACAAGUUUCCAGCAGGGAAUUUAAUUGGUGGAUUUAAAGCAAGCAGGCAUGAGUUCCAGGGGGCCACACUGACUGAGGUAUGUAUGUAUGUACCAUAGUUUAACUAUUUGCUCAAUGAAAGACAUAUAUUAAUAGUUUCCAGUUUUUGCUGUUAUGAAUA
RNAcentral lists this long non-coding RNA (698 nucleotides) under Homo sapiens (human). RNAcentral describes it as "METTL14 divergent transcript". The record is from RNAcentral. Lineage: Eukaryota; Metazoa; Chordata; Mammalia; Primates; Hominidae.